GAACGCACAUUGCGCCCCUUGGUAUUCCGGGGGGCAUGCCUGUUCGAGCGUCAUUAUAACCCUCAAGCCUAGCUUGGUGUUGGAGCAUGCUAUCUAGCAGCUCUUAAAAUCAGUGGCAGUGCCUUCCGGCUCUAAGCGUAGUAAUUCUUCUCGCUAUGGAAACCGGUUGGUCCGCGCCAGAACCCCCAAUUUCUAUGGUUGACCUCGGAUCAGGUAGGGAUACCCGCUGAACUUAAG
Molecule: unclassified non-coding RNA, 237 nt
Filed under: uncultured Cistella
Lineage: Eukaryota; Fungi; Ascomycota; Leotiomycetes; Helotiales; Hyaloscyphaceae
Description: sequence contains 5.8S rRNA gene
Rfam family: 5.8S ribosomal RNA (bases 1-53)
Source: RNAcentral